UACAGAGGUCUCAAGCGUUGUUCGGAUUCAUUGGGCGUAAAGGGUGCGUAGGCGGCGCGGUAAGUCGGGUGUGAAAUCUUGGAGCUUAACUCCGAAACUGCAUUCGAUACUGCCGUGCUUGAGGACUGGAGAGGAGACUGGAAUUUACGGUGUAGCGGUGAAAUGCGUAGAUAUCGUAAGGAAGACCAGUGGCGAAGGCGGCAUCCUGGACCAACACUGACGCUGAGGAGCGAAAGCCAGGGGAGCAAACGGG
This 253-nucleotide ribosomal RNA is filed under the name uncultured bacterium. Its description in RNAcentral is "partial 16S ribosomal RNA". It matches the Rfam family "Bacterial small subunit ribosomal RNA", at positions 524 to 776 of the family's 1533-position model. The record is from RNAcentral.